RNAcentral lists this ribosomal RNA (253 nucleotides) under uncultured bacterium. RNAcentral's name for it is "partial 16S ribosomal RNA". It matches the Rfam family "Bacterial small subunit ribosomal RNA", at positions 524 to 776 of the family's 1533-position model. The record is from RNAcentral.
UACGUAGGGUGCAAGCGUUGUCCGGAAUUAUUGGGCGUAAAGAGCUCGUAGGCGGUCUGUCACGUCUGCUGUGAAAACUCGGGGCUUAACCCCGGGCCUGCAGUGGGUACGGGCAGACUAGAGUGCGGUAGGGGAGACUGGAAUUCCUGGUGUAGCGGUGAAAUGCGCAGAUAUCAGGAGGAACACCGGUGGCGAAGGCGGGUCUCUGGGCCGUAACUGACGCUGAGACACGAAAGCGUGGGUAGCAAACAGG